Molecule: long non-coding RNA, 419 nt
Filed under: Brachypodium distachyon (stiff brome)
Lineage: Eukaryota; Viridiplantae; Streptophyta; Magnoliopsida; Poales; Poaceae
Description: long non-coding RNA (BDIS_LNC005761)
Source: RNAcentral
GCCAACGUACAAGCCGGCACCCAAGCCCACUCCUCCCACGUAUAAGCCCACACCCAAGCCCUCGCCGCCGACGUACCCGCCGAAGCCAACACCACCCACCUACAAGCCGGCGCCGAAGCCGACUCCCCCGACCUACAAGCCGGCGCCGAAGCCGACACCGCCCACCUACAAGCCCGCGCCGAAGCCGACGCCCCCGACCUACAAGCCGGACCCCAAGCCGACUCCCCCGACGUACAAGCCCGCGCCGAAGCCGGCCCCCAAGCCUACGCCCCCGAACUACAAGCCGGCGCCGAAGCCGACGCCGCCGUCGUACAAGCCGGCCCCGAAGCCCACUCCCCCGGCACCGAAGCCCACGCCGCCGACACCACCAGCCUACAAGCCGGCGCCGAAGCCGAGCCCUCCGACGCCCGCCCCGCCGG